AUGGAGUUUCUAGGCUUGCUAGCUCUUGCCAUCGCCGCGGUGGUCGGAGUUGUCGCCGGCGAGGACUCAACCUGGAGCAAUGGCCGCGCCACGUUCUAUGGCGGCAACGACGCGUCAGGGACAAUGGGAGGAGCGUGUGGGUACGGCAACAUGUUCAGCGCGGGGUACGGGACCAACACGGCGGCGCUGAGCACCGCGCUGUUCAACAACGGGCAGAGCUGCGGCGCGUGCUUUGAGAUCCGGUGCGCCGGCAGCGGGAGCUGCCUGCCGGGCUCCGCCGUCGUGACGGCCACCAACCUCUGCCCCGCCAACUACGCACUCCCCAACAACGAGGGCGGGUGGUGCAACCCGCCGCAGUCGCAUUUCGACCUCGCUGAGCCUAUGUUCACUAAGAUCGCCCAGGCCCGUGCCGGCGUCGUGCCCGUCCAGUACAGAAGGGUGGUGUGUGUCAAGACGGGUGGCAUCCGGUUCACCAUCACCGGCCACUCCUACUUCAACCUGGUGCUCAUCACCAACGUUGCCGGCGCCGGCGACCUGACGGCGGUGUACGUGAAAUCUCCUAGCACAGGAUGGCUGACCAUGAGCCACAACUGGGGCGCCAACUGGCAGAACGGCGCCAUGCUCAACGGCCAGCCGCUGUCCUUCCGGGUCACCACCAGCGACGGCCGUACCAUCACGUCCAACAACGUGGCGCCCUCCGGUUGGAGCUUCGGCCAGACCUUCGCCGGUAGCCAGUUCUAG
RNAcentral lists this ribosomal RNA (741 nucleotides) under Triticum aestivum (bread wheat). Its description in RNAcentral is "partial small subunit ribosomal RNA". The record is from RNAcentral. Lineage: Eukaryota; Viridiplantae; Streptophyta; Magnoliopsida; Poales; Poaceae.